UGAAUACGAGACGCUAAGGCGUCGAAGUAGUGUAUGUCAUACUUCCAAGAAAAGCUUGCACUGUCAUAGAUAAAAAACGCCUGUACCAUAACCGACACAGGUGGGUAGGUAGAGUAUACUAAGGGGCGCGAGAUAACUCUCUCUAAGGAACUCGGCAAAAUAACUCCGUAACUUCGGGAGAAGGAGUGCCUUAUUCGUAAGGUUGCAAUAACAAGAUCCAAGCAACUGUUUAUCAAAAACACAGGUCUCCGCUAAGUCGUAAGACGAUGUAUGGGGGCUGACGCCUGCCCAGUGCCAGAAGGUUAAAGAAGUUGGUUAGCAAUUGCGAAGCUGAUAACUGAAGCCCUGGUGAACGGCGGCCGUAACAAUAACGGUCCUAAGGUAGCGAGAUUCCUUGUCGGGUAAGUUCCGACCCGCACGAAAGGCGUAAUGAUUUGGAUACUGUCUCGGAGAGGGGCUCGGUGAAAUAGACUUGUCUGUGAAGAUGCGGACUACCUGCACCAGGACAGAAAGACCCUAUGAAGCUUUACUGUAACUUGAAAUUGAAAUUGGACUUUAUUCGCGCAGUAUAGGUGGGAGGCGUUGAUUAUAAUCUUGUGGGAUUAUUGGAGCCAUCAGUGAGAUACCACUCUUGUAAUGUUAGAUUUCUAACUUUGAAUCAUUAUCUGGUCAAAGAACAGUUUCAGGCGGGCAGUUUGACUGGGGCGGUCGCCUCCUAAACGGUAACGGAGGCGUACAAAGGUUUCCUCUGAACGGUUAGAAAUCGUAUCUAGAGUGUAAAGGCAUAAGGAAGCUUGACUGUGAGACCUACAAGUCGAGCAGGGACGAAAGUCGGUCUUAGUGAUCUGACGGUACUGAGUGGAAAGGCCGUCACUCAACGGAUAAAAGUUACUCUAAGGAUAACAGGCUGAUCUCCCCCAAGAGUUCACAUCGACGGGGAGGUUUGGCACCUCGAUGUCGGCUCAUCGCAUCCUGGGGCGGUAGUACGUCCCAAGGGUUGGGCUGUUCGCCCAUGAAAGCGGUACGCGAGCUGGGUUCAGAACGUCGUGAGACAGUUCGGUCCAUAUCCGGUGUAGGCGUUAGAAUAUUGAGAGGAGCCUUCUUUAGUACGAGAGGACCGAGAAGGACAUACCUCUGGUGUACCAGUUAUCGUGCCAACGGUAAACGCUGGGUAGCUAUGUAUGGAGUGGAUAACCGCUGAAAGCAUCUAAGUGGGAAGCCCACCUCAAGAUAAG
Molecule: ribosomal RNA, 1235 nt
Filed under: metagenome
Description: bacterial LSU rRNA
Rfam family: Bacterial large subunit ribosomal RNA
Source: RNAcentral